This 460-nucleotide ribosomal RNA is filed under the name uncultured bacterium. Its description in RNAcentral is "partial 16S ribosomal RNA". It matches the Rfam family "Bacterial small subunit ribosomal RNA", at positions 338 to 795 of the family's 1533-position model. The record is from RNAcentral.
CCUACGGGUGGCAGCAGUGAGGAAUAUUGGUCAAUGGACGGAAGUCUGAACCAGCCAAGCCGCGUGCAGGAUGACGGCUCUAUGAGUUGUAAACUUCUUUUGUACGGGAAUAAUAGUUCUUACGUGUAGUGGUUUGAAUGUAUCGUACGAAUAAGGAUCGGCUAACUCCGUGCCAGCAGCCGCGGUAAUACGGAGGAUUCGAGCGUUAUCCGGAGUUAUUGGGUUUAAAGGGUGCGUAGGCUGUUGGAUAAGUUAGAGGUCAAAUGUCGGGGCUUAACCCCGGGCCUGCCUCUGAUACUGUGUGACGAGAGAGCGGAUGCAGCAGGCGGAAUGAGUAGUGUAGCGGGGAAAUGCUUAGAUAUUACUCAGAACACCGAUUGCGCAGGCAGCUUGCUAAUCCGCAUCUGACGCUGAUGCACGAAAGCGUGGGUAGCGAACAGGAUUAGAUACCCUGGUAGUC